CAGUCGCCGCGGUAAUACGUAGGUGGCGAGCGUUGUCCGGAAUUAUUGGGCGUAAAGGGAGCGCAGGCGGACAUAUAAGUCCAUCUUAAAAGUGCGGGGCUCAACCCCGUGAGGGGAUGGAAACUGUAUGCCUUGAGUGCAGGAGAGGAAAGCGGAAUUCCCAGUGUAGCGGUGAAAUGCGUAGAUAUUGGGAGGAACACCAGUGGCGAAGGCGGCUUUCUGGACUGCAACUGACGCUGAGGCUCGAAAGCCAGGGGAGCGAACGGGAUUAGAUACCCCAGUAGUCCCUGUCUCUUAUACA
This 301-nucleotide ribosomal RNA is filed under the name uncultured bacterium. RNAcentral's name for it is "partial 16S ribosomal RNA". It matches the Rfam family "Bacterial small subunit ribosomal RNA", at positions 509 to 809 of the family's 1533-position model. The record is from RNAcentral.